RNAcentral lists this unclassified non-coding RNA (275 nucleotides) under uncultured Glomerales. RNAcentral describes it as "sequence contains 5.8S rRNA gene, ITS2, 28S rRNA gene". The stretch from base 1 to 52 matches the Rfam family "5.8S ribosomal RNA", at positions 103 to 154 of the family's 154-position model. The record is from RNAcentral. Lineage: Eukaryota; Fungi; Glomeromycota; Glomeromycetes; Glomerales; Glomeraceae.
AACGCAAAUUGCACUCUCCGGUCUUCCGGAGAGUAUGCCUGUUUGAGGGUCGGUAAAAUAAAAUAUCGAUUUGUUAUUUUUGUAACACUUCGGAGUUGGGUUAACUUGAUACCCUCAAGUGACCUAAAAUUUAUCAUUUAUUUCGGUACAAUUAACGUUAUUAAUGAUUUCGUUUUGAGUGCCGGAUUUUAUUAGAUGUGACUAUUUAAUAUAGCAUCACUUCUAUAAUUUUGAUUUUCGACCUCAAAUCAGGUAAGAUUACCCGCUGAACUUAA